This 510-nucleotide ribosomal RNA is filed under the name uncultured bacterium. RNAcentral's name for it is "bacterial SSU rRNA". It matches the Rfam family "Bacterial small subunit ribosomal RNA", at positions 15 to 518 of the family's 1533-position model. The record is from RNAcentral.
GAUCCUGGCUUAGGAUGAACGCUAGCUACAGGCUUAACACAUGCAAGUCGAGGGGCAGCAUGGGGUAGCAAUACUCAGAUGGCGACCGGCGCACGGGUGAGUAACACGUAUCCAACCUGCCGCUUACUCGGGGAUAGCCUUUCGAAAGAAAGAUUAAUACCCGAUGGUAUAAAGAGUUCGCAUGUUCUCUUUAUUAAAGAAUUUCGGUAAGCGAUGGGAUGCGUUCCAUUAGAUAGUUGGCGGGGUAACGGCCCACCAAGUCUACGAUGGAUAGGGGUUCUGAGAGGAAGGUCCCCCACAUUGGAACUGAGACACGGUCCAAACUCCUACGGGAGGCAGCAGUGAGGAAUAUUGGUCAAUGGACGAGAGUCUGAACCAGCCAAAAGUAGCGUGAAGGAUGACUGCCCUAUGGGUUGUAAACUUCUUUUAUAAGGGAAUAAAGUGAGGGACGUGUCCCUUUUUGUAUGUACCUUAUGAAUAAGGAUCGGCUAACUCCGUGCCAGCCGCGGC